GUGCUCGCUUUGGCAGCACAUAUACUAAAAUUGGAACGAUACAGAGAUUAGCAUGGCCCCUGUGCAAGGAUGACACGCAAAUUCGUGAAGUGUUCCAUAUUUAA
Molecule: small nuclear RNA, 104 nt
Filed under: Mus spretus (western wild mouse)
Lineage: Eukaryota; Metazoa; Chordata; Mammalia; Rodentia; Muridae
Source: RNAcentral